RNAcentral lists this unclassified non-coding RNA (159 nucleotides) under uncultured Dothideomycetes. RNAcentral describes it as "sequence contains ITS1". Lineage: Eukaryota; Fungi; Ascomycota; Dothideomycetes. The record is from RNAcentral.
UCAAUCCCUUGAAAAGUUGGGCAACCCCCAGCUUGGAUAGGUUUGACAUUGCCCCUGUUUUUUGCGCACUUAUGUUUCCUCGGUGGGCUUGCCCACCGAUAGGACCAAUUUAUAACCUUUUUUAAUUUUCAAUCAGCGUCUGAAUAAACUAAAUAAUUA